Molecule: ribosomal RNA, 422 nt
Filed under: uncultured bacterium
Lineage: Bacteria
Description: bacterial SSU rRNA
Rfam family: Bacterial small subunit ribosomal RNA
Source: RNAcentral
GAGUUUGAUCGUGGCUCAGGACGAACGCUGGCGGCGUGCUUAACACAUGCAAGUCGAACGAGAAUCUACUGAAAGAGUUUUCGGACAAUGGAUGUAGAGGAAAGUGGCGGACGGGUGAGUAACGCGUGAGGAACCUGCCUUGAAGAGGGGGACAACAGUUGGAAACGACUGCUAAUACCGCAUGACGCAUAGAGGUCGCAUGAUCUUUAUGCCAAAGAUUUAUCGCUUCAAGAUGGCCUCGCGUCUGAUUAGCUAGUUGGCGGGUAACGGCCCACCAAGGCGACGAUCAGUAGCCGGACUGAGAGGUUGAACGGCCACAUUGGGACUGAGAUACGGCCCAGACUCCUACGGGAGGCAGCAGUGGGGAAUAUUGGGCAAUGGGCGCAAGCCUGACCCAGCAACGCCGCGUGAAGGAAGAAGGC